This 253-nucleotide ribosomal RNA is filed under the name uncultured bacterium. RNAcentral describes it as "partial 16S ribosomal RNA". It matches the Rfam family "Bacterial small subunit ribosomal RNA", at positions 524 to 776 of the family's 1533-position model. The record is from RNAcentral.
AACGGAGGGCGCAAGCGUUGGUCGGAAUCACUGGGCGUAAAGCGCGUGUAGGCGGCUUGGCAAGUCGGAUGUGAAAUCCCGAGGCUCAACCUCGGAACUGCACUCGAAACUGCCUGGCUCGAGUCCCGGAGAGGGGGGCGGAAGUCCCGGUGUAGGGGUGAAAUCCGUAGAUAUCGGGAGGAACGCCAGGGGCGAAGGCGGCCACCUGGACGGUGACUGACGAUGAGACGCGAAAGCGUGGGGAGCAAACAGG